UACGGGGGGAGCAAGCGUUGUUCGGAUUUACUGGGCGUAAAGGGCGCGUAGGCGGCUUUCCAAGUCACUUGUGAAAUCUCCGGGCUUAACUCGGAACGGUCAAGUGAUACUGUGAGGCUAGAGUGCGGAAGGGGCAACUGGAAUUCUCGGUGUAGCGGUGAAAUGCGCAGAUAUCAGGAGGAGCACCGGUGGCGAAGGCGGUUCUCUGGGCAUUACCUGACGCUGAGGAGCGAAAGCGUGGGGAGCGAACAGG
This 253-nucleotide ribosomal RNA is filed under the name uncultured bacterium. RNAcentral's name for it is "partial 16S ribosomal RNA". It matches the Rfam family "Bacterial small subunit ribosomal RNA", at positions 524 to 776 of the family's 1533-position model. The record is from RNAcentral.